This 71-nucleotide transfer RNA is filed under the name Chasmodes bosquianus (striped blenny). Its description in RNAcentral is "tRNA-Ser". It matches the Rfam family "tRNA". From Rfam's summary of the family: Transfer RNA (tRNA) molecules are approximately 80 nucleotides in length. Their secondary structure includes four short double-helical elements and three loops (D, anti-codon, and T loops). Further hydrogen bonds mediate the characteristic L-shaped molecular structure. tRNAs have two regions of fundamental functional importance: the anti-codon, which is responsible for specific mRNA codon recognition, and the 3' end, to which the tRNAs corresponding amino acid is attached (by aminoacyl-tRNA synthetases). tRNAs cope with the degeneracy of the genetic code in two manners: having more than one tRNA (with a specific anti-codon) for a particular amino acid; and 'wobble' base-pairing, i.e. permitting non-standard base-pairing at the 3rd anti-codon position. Lineage: Eukaryota; Metazoa; Chordata; Actinopteri; Blenniiformes; Blenniidae. The record is from RNAcentral.
AAGAAAGUGUCAGAGUGGUAAUGAGGUUGGCUUGAAACCAUCAGAUGGGGGUUCAACUCCUCCCUUUCUCG